GGAGCUUGAAGUGGAGAGUUUACAAGCAAGCCAUGAUCAAGUCCAGUCUGAUCUCAAACUAGCCUUCAAGAGGAUAGCUGAUCUUCAGAGGGCUGUUGAGGAUGGGAUAGGCAGUGACAGUGAUAGCUGCACACCUGGUAGCAAUAGCGAUGACAGUGACAGCUCUGGAGAUGAGUACCUUCCUAGAUAUUCUCACUAUUCCUCCAACCGUAGCAGUCGAUUGAGUAGCCUGAGCAGUGUAGACUCAUCCCAGUACACCACCAGAAGAACCAGGGUGUAUUCAUCCACGUCGGAGAAAUCAGAUGAUGUCAGGCGUAGAUCACGGAAUCCUGCUGAGUAGCUGGGUCUGGGAAGUAUGUCAUCAACCCCGGCAGUUCGGAUGAAGACGAGGAUGUCGAUGAGCUAGGAGCACGCAGCACAUCACGGCCCAGUAGCAUGUACAGUGAGGACACCGUAGGAAGCGUUGAGCUGGGCGAAACCAACGUCAGCUUGACGAGUUCGUCUACGAUAGGCGGGGAAAGCGGCGACGGGACAAAGAAAAAAGGAUUUAUGAUAAAUCCAGAUUAUAUGUGAUAUUAAAUAGCAGUUCUAGUUAGGGAUUUAGCAGAGUAGACUUGUAUAAACUAUAUUUUUCUGUGUGUAAAUGUUUAGUGGUAGCUAUAGUACUGUUAUAAGGAAACCACGUUUUGUCUUUGCAUGAAUGCAUUGCAAAUAAUCAAUGGGUACUCGAUGAGUAAAGGCGACCGCACACCUUACGGUUGGUCUGCGACUCAAUUUUGGAAUAAAACGUAGUAAAAUUUGAUGCUUAACAUUGAGACUUGGAAUAUCUUACUGUGCUGUUCGAAAUCAUCGUACGAAUACAUAUGUUCAAGUCUGUGACUAUGCUAUCAUCCUUCUUAGAAUAAAAGCAAAUUUGAUAUCUAGUCGUUAUGACGUCAUGGCAGUCGUACGAUUGGCUACGAUUUGAAACUAAUUUGGCCUUUACUCCAAAAUAAAGGCUUGCAACCUUUCAAAAUUGUUAUAUUAGUAUUCUUUCAAUUAAUUUUACCCUCAAAUAAAAUGAAAUGUUCCAUUCACAUUUUCAGAAAAUGAGCAAAAUUCGAUUUGUUACAAAAUCGGAUCGCGAACAGUCGUAAGGUGUGCGGUGGCCUUAACUCUUCAUAAUUGGGGACUGCAUGAAGCUUUGAAUUCAUGUUAUUCUGUCAGAGAAAAUCAACCACAAAAGAAAUAUUCUUUAAAAACAUUAUUGGAAGUCUCAUGUUCACAUCAAAUUGUGUGUGUAUGUAUAUAUAUAUGUAGGUUUGUAUCUCACAAAUGAAGGCUAUGUUUAAGUCAUUCAGCACUUUUAUUGUACCUUACAGUACCAUUAUAAAUAGCAUAGGUCAUGAUGUAGGAAUCUGUAAGGAAACUACAAGAUUAGAAAGAUGGCUCAUGCAGAGUUUACAAACAUUACGAAAAAUGUACAAUUGCUACGAAUGUCAAAAUACUUCAUAAGAUUACAAAUGCAUCCUCAAUAACUUUGUAUUUGAACGCAAAUAGGCAUGCACACAUUUAGCAUGCAAAAUAUAUAUGUAUGUACUUGCUAUAUUUGUAGUCAUUUUCCAUUCUUCUUUGGGAAAAAAUGGACACCUUUGAAUAUGUCAAAAUUCCCUAUUUCAUUGCAAAUGUUCUGCAGGGUGCAAUGUUAAAUUGCCUUUUCCAGGAAUUUCAUAGUACCGCAUAAGGAACUACUACUUAUAUCUCAAAUUUAUGAAUUAUUGAGCUUCUGGAUUACUGAUUUGCACUUGUAAAGUAAAAGGAUGGCAGCACUGGACAUGCAGGAAACAGAUGUCCCUUGACUCAAUUAAACAUCAAUAUAUAUUGGUCUGCAGGGAGAGAGAGAGAGGAUGUAGGGCAAGAUGGUUAAAGAUAGAAUAAUGUAGUUUCAGCAAACCAUUAUUUCAUGAGAAAGUCUUUAAAAUCAAGGUUUAAUUGUCACCCUAUUAUCAAAGGCCUAGAUCUGGUACAUUAAUAUAUUUGUGAAACCGUGAAAUCUCAGCUGAAAACUGACAUUACUCAUGAUCACUAACACAGAAAAGGAUGUGUGGGACAGUGUAUUAAUAUUGCUUUGAAAAAAUACCUGACAUUUGAUAGAAUUUUGUGUUUAUUCUCACUUCUCAAGCAUUUACAAUUUUUCUCCAGAGCCAUUUGGCACAUACUAAAACUUUGGUGGUCAUUUUAUUGGAAAUUGUUCAAACUCAUUUUGAGAUCGUUACCACAACUGGCAUUUCUCUUUAAGGGGAUUGAAAGAAACUGGGAUGGUAUGACAGUAAAGAGGGAAAGAGGUGUGGGAUGGGGAGGGGAUAUAGUAUAUUUAGCAACAGAGAGAUAUAGAAAGAAGAAAAUGAAUGUUAAACUAGAUUUAGGCCACAGUUCCCUAUACAGGUGUAUUUGGGAAUUGAUAUCAUAUUGUGCAAUGGAAUGGUCAGUGAAUGAGGAGAAGAAAAGAAUGGAUGCAAGGUGCAUGAUUAUGAGUGGUAAUAUGAUAGAUGCUGGAGAUCUUGAAAUGGAUCUGACCAAGAUUUUAAGAGUAGGAAUAUAGGUUCAGGAUGGCCGAGAUAACUUGGGAUGGUCACAAUCUCAGCUUACCAUUCAGUUUAGCAGUUCAAUUUAAAUUUGUUGAAUUUCUUGUCUGGAAAUGAUUUUAAAAAUAGGAAGCAGCAGGGAGUGGUAACCUCCUUGUUGACGUUUCCAAAAUAAAACAUUUCCAAGAGAUAAGAUAUUGACGAUAUCUGUUGUCAAGCCUGAUCACACUCAUAAGAUAAUCGCUACAAAAUGCAUUUAAUAGGGUCACUGAUUUGUUCGGGUUUUUUUUUGGAGGGGGGUGAACAAAUUCAGAUUUUCGAUAUCACUGAUUCGUACAUCGAUAACCUCCUUUGGAUUGUGUGUAAAUGAGAACAGUGAUUUAUCAGUAAAUUCUUCUUCAAAGAUGAGAAGCAAAGUUGCCAUCUCUGAUGAGGAAACACAGCCAAAAAGAUGGCUCAUUUAAAAUAACAAGUUUUUUCUGCAUUCUGUUCUCCCACUUUCCCACACAUUACGGACUACUCCUGCUUUAAGGUGCAAAAAAUUAUCACCCAAAAAAUAAGAAGUGUUGUGAAGUAGAAGUAUGCGGCAUCUGUUUGCCUCGCAACGAAUUUGAUUAUAAAUGUGAUGAUGAUGAGCAAUGCAGUUUGUUCCAUAAAUUGGAUACCAUGUUACAGGCAGCAGGAAUAGCCGUCAAGGGAAAUAAUUUUUUCCCCCUUCUACCUCUUUAACGUAAGAUAAGUGAAUGAUUAGCAUGUAACCUGAAGUGACGUUUUGCCGUAGCAUGCAGUCCCCCAGUGCACAGCUGUGUGUUUUAUUUUCUGUUAUUCCAGCUUUUUGCCUUAAAAUUCUUUCACCGCUCGUUUGAAACACUGCAUAAUUGUACAUGGGAUAUGUAAUCUCAUUGAUCACACAUGCAAUAUGGAGAUUAGAUAUGAUUACCCAAUUUGGGAGAUGUGAUCUUUUUUUAGUAAAUUGAAUUAUUCUUUAAUUUAAAGGGAAUCAAAUAUAUUCACCAUGGCAUUUGCUGAAGUCACUAACUUAAAGUAAUUUCAAAUAUCUCCUAAGAAAUUCAAUUGAUAUGUAUCAUUGUGUACCACAUAUACAUUUUCAUAACCUCUUUUAUUUUGUGUUUGUGUGUCAUCACAAGUAUUGUCAUAGAUAUGUUCACCAAACACUACUGGAGAUGAAAUACACGUAUUACCAAAAAUGCAAUGGUAUACUGAUAUGUUCCUUAAUAUAGUGGUAUUGUCUAUGUUUACAUGUGAUGUAAAAAAAAAUAAUUGAAAUUAAAUAAUGUGUAAAUAAUUUAUGUGGAAAAUAUGUAAAUGAAAUACAGAAAGAAUGUGUAUAUAUCUUUGUCUUUAUCUUUGUAGAUUAUAGUUGUACUAAUUUGGAAUAUUGAAAUGGAAUUUUAAGCUGUUUUGAAUGUUGUCAUGUGUAUCAUUCUUGUUCAAUGUAGUUUGUUUCUUACAGUGCCUUGGCUAUCAAAGCAUGCAGGAUUUUCAUCACUUCUGCUUAUCUUAUUUCAUCUAUGUUAUUUAAUCUUAAAUUGUAAGUUAUAAUGCAUUUAUUUUGCAGACUUGUGAAACAGUAUUUUCAUCUUCAAAUAUACAGAAUCAGUCUAUCUUUAGAAUAUUUCGAUUUUUUUUAUACUGAGGGAAGCUUUAUUGGACAAUAUGUUUGCAGAUUACGACAAACAUGCUGUCAAAAUGUCAAUUUUCUUAUUUUAGUUUGAGAUGUAGAUGAAAAUAUGCUGAGUGUAAACUUCAUAACCAUAGUAGUGUAAACAGAUGAUUAGUACAUCAUUCUGUUAUGCAUAAUUAUCUGCAAAUUGGAAGUUUAAUAUAAAAAGAAAUGGACAGCACUGCAGCUACAUAUACAGUGGUGCUCAAAAGUUAGUGAACCCCACCAGAAAAUGAACAUACUGUAGUUUAAAUGUUCUAGUUCUGCCCUGUUUUAGAUAUUUCCAUGUUAUUGUGAGGUCUGGUGAUAAGAUUUCCAUUCAAUAAAGUUUGUUUCUCUGGCUUGCCGAACCUUGUAGUGUUGGUGUCUAUACUCAACACUCAGCAUGAAGGAGUGCAUUGUGUGGUGGGGCUCACUAACUUUUGAGCACAACUCUACAUGCUGAAAGAUAUACUAGUACAUAAUUGUAUGUGUAAGGAAUCAGAGGCUUAUAAGUGGCUUGGUGUUUUCACUUUAAAUGUAGCUAAAAAUCUUAUAUUAAGACAGAGCCAAUUGAUUAUGAACAGUAAUAGAUCUUGUUUCAUACUCUUGUUUUUAGUUUUAUCCUUUCAAAUUUUCAUUUAGGUGAUUAAUAUACCUCAUACUUUUACCCAGCGUACAUUGUGAAUUCCAUUUUUACUGCAUGAUGACUUGAUCAUCUACUCUGAUGUGCUUUACUUUGUCAAAUUUGUGAGUAAUGCUUUCGCAUCUUCAAAUUUAUUAGUUUUAUCAUAUGUUUUUUGGGGGUAAAUGAAAUGUUGCGCCUCUAUCCAGUAUCAGCUUAUUUGAUGCUUUUGGGUUUGAGAUUUAUGAACUUUUUAUCGUAUCAAUAUCUUUGUUUCUUUUGUUUUAUUUUGUUGUGAUAUGUAACAUUUGGUGCUCAUUUUGUUUGCAUUAUAUUAUAUUUUAGAAGUUUUAAUGGACAUUCUUUGAUAUCUCUUUUUUAUUUUUUUUUGGGGGAGUUCUCUUUAUGUCCUUUUUCAGGGCACAUUUAUUGUCGUUCCAAAAACAUCAAUAAUUAACAUAUUUGUUGUGUAUUUUACUGCUUACAUUAUCCGGUGUUGUGCGGUAUUUGCAGGUGAAACCCUUGUGUAAAAUUACCAGAAUUAUGUGGGUCUAUGCCAGGUUUAAAAAAAAAGAUAAAAUCAUUAUGUCUUCUUUUUUUAAAAUUUAAUUUGGACACAAUUUUGCCUGCAAGUUUUCAGAAAAUCUCACUCGUUUUUCUGUAGUAAGGUGUGGGGUGUUCAUGUUUUAUAUUUUUAAUGUCAACAAUUUUAAUAUAUGCACAUUGUAUUCUUACAUGGAAAUUCUCCAUAAUGGCAUAAUCGUUCAAUAUUAUAUUAAUGGUGUGAACAUGAGAAAGCAUGGAGCCAUGGAGUAUUGAAUUUGAUUGUUAUAAAUCCCAAUUAGUUUCAAACAUAUUGAUAUAUCUCAGUAUUUUUAUGCCAUUUUUAUUUUAGCAAAAAUAUUUGUAAAUCUAAUUGGACUAUUCAAUAGUAUAUCCAAUCCACUGUUGUUUUGAACUAUGGUUUUCUUGAAAAUGAUUUAAAAACAUGAAAAGACAAAAGACAAAAUGUGCAGAUAUCCGACUUGAUACUUCUGUCACCUAUCUUAUUUUCAUUGAAAAAUGCAGUCUCCUUAUUUGUUUUGUCUUUCAUUCUUGUUUGAAGUAUUGAAUGCUAGUGUAUCAUAAGAAACAUAUAUAUUUAUCCACCAAAACAAUAUAUAUAUUCAUAAAUCAGAUUCCAAUCAUCCUGUAUUAUGCAAGUAAAAUUACAAGAUUUUUUGUGGGUUCUGAUGAAAUUUCUUUCUCUUUCUGAUGCAGUUAAUGAAAAAGGCGAUAUAAUUAUUAGUACACAAUACUUUGAUUAUGGUUUGAUAUAGCAUCUUGAAAGGAUAGGAAUAUAUUGCAUUAUAAACUUGUUUCAUUGAAGUUAGAAAGUCUUAAUGUGUUCAAGGUGAAAAUUUUUUCCCAGUUGAUUUUUUUGUGCAACAUGAAAAUGACACGUGUUAGGCCUAAUCACUAAUUCUAAGAAGUAUAUUUUGUCGCCUUGCUGGCAAAAGGCAGUAAUUCACGCAUGCGUAAUGAUUUUCAAUUCCUGCGUUGUUUUCAUAUGUGGGUUUGGUCAAAUGUGUGCAACUCAAAAUGCUCUUUGCAUGAAAAUUAAAACUGUUUUGCUUGACCAACACAAAUGGGGAUCGACAUAACAUCAAAUCCUAUAAACCAUUUUUCAGUCACUAUAUGUUGAUUCAACAUUUACAAAAGCCUCUUCUUUUAUGUGCACUAUACACUCUAUUGUCCUGUGUAUGAAUAAUGUGAUAAAUGUAUCUCUUUGUGAACUAACAAAAUUGACCCUAUUAAGUGAUGAGAAAUAUCUAUAUAUUAUCAAGGGCUGCAUAAGUAUUAAACGCAGAGGGUAAUUUAAUUUGUAGGAACAUAUUCAGAUAUGGAGAAAAUGUACAUCUGAAUGUCUUCCAUAUAGAAAGAUUUUAUGUUCAAGAUGAUUUAUGGCAGAAAUAACUUCCAGUAUGAUGGCAGAGUUAAAGGCAUUGUAUACCUAAACGAAUCUGACAAAAUGUAUUCUAACAAUAUUGCAUUUUUUGCUUAUAAUGAUAACAUUAAAGAUAUAAUAAUAUUGUA
Lytechinus pictus (painted urchin) is the source of this 6928-nucleotide long non-coding RNA. RefSeq lists it as uncharacterized. The record is from RefSeq and is a predicted model, not a curated record. The transcript is spliced from 4 exons. Lineage: Eukaryota; Metazoa; Echinodermata; Echinoidea; Temnopleuroida; Toxopneustidae.